RNAcentral lists this ribosomal RNA (381 nucleotides) under uncultured eukaryote. RNAcentral's name for it is "partial 18S ribosomal RNA". It matches the Rfam family "Eukaryotic small subunit ribosomal RNA", at positions 592 to 975 of the family's 1831-position model. The record is from RNAcentral.
CAAUAGCGUAUAUUAAAGUUGUUGCAGUUAAAAAGCUCGUAGUUGGAUUUCUGGAUGGAGCGACCGGUCGGGCAUUAAUUUGUCUGCACUGGAGUCGGUUCCGUCCAUCCUCUUGGAAAGUGCGUGGGGCAUUAAGUUGUCUAGCGUAUGAUCCAAGUCGUUUACUGUGAAAAAAUUAGAGUGUUUAAAGCAGGCCUUCGCCUUGAAUACAUUAGCAUGGAAUAAUAAGAUAGGACUUUGGUCUAUUUUGUUGGUUUGCAGACCGAAGUAAUGAUUAAUAGGGAUAGUUGGGGGUAUUUAUAUUCCGAUGUCAGAGGUGAAAUUCUUAGAUUUUCGGAAGAUAAACUUAUGCGAAAGCAUUUACCAAGGAUGUUUNCAUUA